This 83-nucleotide transfer RNA is filed under the name Apaloderma vittatum (bar-tailed trogon). It matches the Rfam family "tRNA". Rfam says of the family: Transfer RNA (tRNA) molecules are approximately 80 nucleotides in length. The record is from Rfam by way of RNAcentral. Lineage: Eukaryota; Metazoa; Chordata; Aves; Trogoniformes; Trogonidae.
GGCCGGUUAGCUCAGUGGUUUGAGCGCGGUGCUGACAACAAUGACCUACACCGAGGUCGCGGGUUCGUAUUCCCGCUCGGUCC